AGUGAACGCUGGCGGUAGGCCUAACACAUGCAAGUCGAACGGCGGCACAGUAAGAGCUUGCUCUUACGGGUGGCGAGUGGCGGACGGGUGAGGAAUACAUCGGAAUCUACUUUUUCGUGGGGGAUAACGUAGGGAAACUUACGCUAAUACCGCAUACGACCUACGGGUGAAAGCAGGGGAUCCUCGGACCUUGCGCGAUUGAAUGAGCCGAUGUCGGAUUAGCUAGUUGGCGGGGUAAAGGCCCACCAAGGCGACGAUCCGUAGCUGGUCUGAGAGGAUGAUCAGCCACACUGGAACUGAGACACGGUCCAGACUCCUACGGGAGGCAGCAGUGGGGAAUAUUGGACAAUGGGCGCAAGCCUGAUCCAGCCAUACCGCGUGGGUGAAGAAGGCCUUCGGGUUGUAAAGCCCUUUUGUUGGGAAAGAAAAGCAGCAGGUUAAUACCCCGCUGUUCUGACGGUACCCAAAGAAUAAGCACCGGCUAACUUCGUG
This 492-nucleotide ribosomal RNA is filed under the name uncultured bacterium. Its description in RNAcentral is "partial 16S ribosomal RNA". It matches the Rfam family "Bacterial small subunit ribosomal RNA", at positions 29 to 507 of the family's 1533-position model. The record is from RNAcentral.